AUGGCCAUGAACCCUCACCGCCGCGCGUCCCAUGCCACUACCGUCGCCCGUGACGGCCCUUCCCCGAGCGUGCUUCCUUCCUCGCCCUUGCUGCCUGCCCACGGGUCACGCGGCCUGAGGCCGGCGACUAGCGCCGCCGUGGCCGUCCGUCUACUUCCUCCUUCAUCCGCCCCGGGAAGCCUCCGCCGUGCCAAGUCCCUGUGCCCGCGCCCUGCUUCUCCUCUCGCGCCGCAGCUCCGUCCGCGAGCUCGUGGAACCAUGGCUGCCACAGGAGCCUCGCGCUCGACCCCCUCGAUGGGACCAUGGUUGCUCAUGACCCCGCCUUCCUGCACCUCCACACGCCACCUACCGCUGCUCCGCCUCGAUCGAGCUCCAUCCCCUGCUUUCACUGGAUCGCCAAGAUGCAGCCCCGACACCGUUGGCCCCUUCCUCCUUCAACGUUCGAGCCUUCAUGCCCAAGGCCUUCGUCAUCUCCCUGUGAUGCACUCCGUGCGACCGUGA
This 501-nucleotide ribosomal RNA is filed under the name Triticum aestivum (bread wheat). RNAcentral's name for it is "partial small subunit ribosomal RNA". Lineage: Eukaryota; Viridiplantae; Streptophyta; Magnoliopsida; Poales; Poaceae. The record is from RNAcentral.